AGGUUUUCGCUAAUUGUGCUACAUUGAGUUCUAUCCCUGGGGCAUAUAUGGAAGAAUGGAAGUGAUUCUAGUGUGAAAGUCACAGAACAUGCAGCUUGCCGGUGAUGGUCACAGUGGACUCUCUUACGCUUUUCAGUUUCUGGUUCUGGGGAUUAAACUGGAAAUCUUUUGCCUGGACUCUGUUUUCUCUCUUUGAAGACAAGAGCACCUGAGUUUGGCUCCCAGCACCCAUGUCAAGUGGCUUCACAACCUGUAACUCCAGCUCCAAGGACAGCCAGCAUCUCUGACAAGACAUGUGCAUACCUCCACAAAGAAGAGACACACAUAAUUUAAAAAUAACAAAAAUAAAUCCUAAAAUUUUACAAUGUUAAGUUAGCACCUAUAAGAAUUUAAAAUGCGGUAAGUCAGUGCUUAUCAUAAACCACAAGGAGAUACUUUACAGUUAUUAGACGAGUGGGAAGGUAGAAAUUCAAGGACAGCCUGGGCUACAAUAGUGAGACCCUGUCUCAGAAAACAAAACGAAAUACAGUCUGUAUCUACGGUUAAGGACAUAGCUCAGAGGUAAGCCUGCUUGCUGUACAAACAUAGGGAUCGGGCUUCAAAUCCCAGAACCCAGGUAAAAGGAACUGGACACGGUAGAGUAUUUCCCUGUAACCCCAGAGCGAUGGGGUGGAGACAGGACAAUUGUUAGGGCGUGUUGGCUAUCAGGCUAUCUCCAGGGCCGCAAGACAGUAAGACGGAGCAGCUGAACAGUAAGGCAGAAUACCUGAUCCUCUGCUGGCCUCUGUGUACACGUACAUCUGUCAUCACUCUCCGUGUCUCUCUGACUUGUGUG
Molecule: non-coding RNA, 835 nt
Organism: Myodes glareolus (Bank vole)
Lineage: Eukaryota; Metazoa; Chordata; Mammalia; Rodentia; Cricetidae
Source: RefSeq, a predicted model, not a curated record